RNAcentral lists this ribosomal RNA (460 nucleotides) under uncultured bacterium. Its description in RNAcentral is "partial 16S ribosomal RNA". It matches the Rfam family "Bacterial small subunit ribosomal RNA", at positions 338 to 795 of the family's 1533-position model. The record is from RNAcentral.
CCUACGGGUGGCAGCAGUGAGGAAUAUUGGUCAAUGGGCGGAAGCCUGAACCAGCCAAGUAGCGUGCAUGAUGACGGCCCUACGGGUUGUAAGCUGCUUUUAUACGGGGAUAACGCGCCUUGCGUGUAGGGCUUUGCAUGUACCGUAUGAGUAAGAGCCGGCUAAUUCCGUGCCAGCAGCCGCGGUAAUACGGAAGGUCCGGGCGUUAUCCGGAUUGAUUGGGCUUAAAGGGAGCGUAGGCCGCAUGUCAAGCGUGCUGUGAAAUGUCCGGGCUCAACCCGGGCCUUGCACCGCGAACUGGCGUGCUUGAGUCUGCGGAAAGCAGGCGGAAUUCGUGGUGUAGCGGUGAAAUGCGUAGAUAUGACGAAGAAUCCCGAUGGCGAAGGCAGCUCGCUGCAGCGGAACUGACGCUGAUGCUCGAAAGCGCGGGUAUCGAACAGGAUUAGAUACCCGAGUAGUC